RNAcentral lists this ribosomal RNA (253 nucleotides) under uncultured bacterium. RNAcentral describes it as "partial 16S ribosomal RNA". It matches the Rfam family "Bacterial small subunit ribosomal RNA", at positions 524 to 776 of the family's 1533-position model. The record is from RNAcentral.
UACGUAGGGUGCGAGCGUUGUCCGGAAUUAUUGGGCGUAAAGAGCUCGUAGGCGGUUUGUCGCGUCGACUGUGAAAACCCGAGGCUUAACCUCGGGCCUGCAGUCGAUACGGGCAGACUAGAGUUCGGUAGGGGAGACUGGAAUUUCUGGUGUAGCGGUGAAAUGCGCAGAUAUCAGGAGGAACACCGGUGGCGAAGGCGGGUCUCUGGGCCGAUACUGACGCUGAGGAGCGAAAGCGUGGGGAGCGAACAGG